RNAcentral lists this ribosomal RNA (396 nucleotides) under uncultured microorganism. Its description in RNAcentral is "bacterial SSU rRNA". It matches the Rfam family "Archaeal small subunit ribosomal RNA", at positions 330 to 731 of the family's 1478-position model. The record is from RNAcentral.
GCGCACCAGUCGCGAAAACUUUACAAUGUGCGAAAGCACGAUAAGGGAACUCUGAGUGCCUCCUAAGGAGGCUGUUCAGGUGUCUAAAAAGCACCUGGAGUAAGGGCUGGGUAAGACCGGUGCCAGCCGCCGCGGUAACACCGGCAGCCCAGGUGGUAGCCACUUUUAUUGGGUACUAAAGCGUCCGUAGCCGGUUGAGUAAGUUCCUUGGGAAAUUUGGCUGCUCAACAGUCAAGCUUCCAGGGAAUACUGCUCGACUUGGGACUGGGAGAGGUCAGAGGUACUCCAGGGGUAGGGUGAAAUCCAUUAAUCCCUGGGGGACCACCGGUAGCGAAGGCGUCUGACCAGACCAGGUCCGACGGUGAGGGACGAAGGCUAGGGUCGCGAACCGGAUUA